GGAUGUGAGGGCCCAUUGACCACCAGGGUUGAUUCUGCUGAUCUGGCUGGCUAGACAGGUGUCCCUUCCUCCUCACCACUCCAUGUGAGUCCCUUCCAGAGCUGCACACGUGGUCGAAGGUGACAUAGAGGAGGAACCAUGUUCGGUCAAGGGUGUACGUACAAGUAGCUGUGAUCCCCUGCUAGAACCUCCAAACAAGCUCUCAAAUAAAUAAUUUAAACAAUGACCAUCCCAAGUGCACCCCACAAAAUAACCACUCUUUU
RNAcentral lists this small nuclear RNA (263 nucleotides) under Jaculus jaculus (lesser Egyptian jerboa). RNAcentral's name for it is "7SK RNA (ENSJJAG00000003140.1)". It matches the Rfam family "7SK RNA". From Rfam's summary of the family: 7SK was discovered as an abundant small nuclear RNA in the mid-70s but a possible function has only recently been suggested. Two independent studies have found that 7SK RNA binds the CDK9/cyclin T complex (known as elongation factor P-TEFb). Lineage: Eukaryota; Metazoa; Chordata; Mammalia; Rodentia; Dipodidae. The record is from RNAcentral.